GGGGUUGUGGCUCAGUGGUAGAGCGCUCGCCUAGCACGUGAAAGGCCUUGGGUUCUAUUCUCAGCACCA
RNAcentral lists this transfer RNA (69 nucleotides) under Ictidomys tridecemlineatus (thirteen-lined ground squirrel). Its description in RNAcentral is "Spermophilus tridecemlineatus (thirteen-lined ground squirrel) tRNA". It matches the Rfam family "tRNA". Rfam says of the family: Transfer RNA (tRNA) molecules are approximately 80 nucleotides in length. Their secondary structure includes four short double-helical elements and three loops (D, anti-codon, and T loops). The record is from Rfam by way of RNAcentral. Lineage: Eukaryota; Metazoa; Chordata; Mammalia; Rodentia; Sciuridae.